AUUGAACGCUGGCGGCAGGCCUAACACAUGCAAGUCGAACGGUAACAGGAAGAAGCUUGCUUCUUUGCUGACGAGUGGCGGACGGGUGAGUAAUGUCUGGGAAACUGCCUGAUGGAGGGGGAUAACUACUGGAAACGGUAGCUAAUACCGCAUAACGUCGCAAGACCAAGGAGGGGGACCUUCGGGCCUCUUGCCAUCGGAUGUGCCCAGAUGGGAUUAGCUAGUAGGUGGGGUAACGGCUCACCUAGGCGACGAUCCCUAGCUGGUCUGAGAGGAUGACCAGCCACACUGGAACUGAGACACGGUCCAGACUCCUACGGGAGGCAGCAGUGGGGAAUAUUGCACAAUGGGCGCAAGCCUGAUGCAGCCAUGCCGCGUGUAUGAAGAAGGCCUUCGGGUUGUAAAGUACUUUCAGCGGGGAGGAAGGGAGUAAAGUUAAUACCUUUACUCAUUGACGUUACCCGCAGAAGAAGCACCGGCUAACUCCGUG
Molecule: ribosomal RNA, 490 nt
Filed under: uncultured bacterium
Lineage: Bacteria
Description: partial 16S ribosomal RNA
Rfam family: Bacterial small subunit ribosomal RNA
Source: RNAcentral